Molecule: microRNA precursor, 81 nt
Filed under: Ovis aries (sheep)
Lineage: Eukaryota; Metazoa; Chordata; Mammalia; Artiodactyla; Bovidae
Description: miRNA (ENSOARG00000022251.1)
Source: RNAcentral
UAUUGGGUUGGCCAAAAAGUUCAUUUGGGUUUCCCAUCAGAUGGUAUGAAAAACCCAAAUGAACUUCUUGGCUAACUCAAU